GGAAGGAUCAUUGAAUCUAUAUCAAUCCACACACCGUGAACAAUAAAGUUGGCCACCCAAUUAAUAAGUAAUUAUUAAUUGGGUUGAGGACUGUAAGAGCUCUAGUAAUAAGGCUCAUGCAUGACUCAGUCGCUUCUCCGCUGUAUGUGUCGUAUAAAUUAAUUAAUUUAUAAGGCAUUACAUGAGCAGCGUCGGUCUCAUUACUAACCAACCAACACCAAACCUUAACCAAAUUAAAUUCGAGUGUCUAGCUUAGAGCUAGCGCUCACUAACCAAGACAACUCUCAACAACGGAUAUCUUGGCUCUCAGAUCGAUGAAGAACGCAGCGAAAUGCGAUACGUAGUGUGAAUUGCAGAAAUACGUGAAUCAUCGAAUCUUUGAACGCAAAUUGCGCUCGAGGCUUCGGCCAAGAGCAUGUCUGCCUCAGCGUCGGGUUAAUACUCACUCUCGUACUCACAUUAAUUUAAUUAAUGUGGGUGAGAGUGGAACUGGCUGUCUCGGUUAUUAAUUAAUUAAUUAAUUAACCGCCGGGUCAGCUGAAGUACAGAUAUUGUACCAUGGACCGUUAAACGGGCCUCUACUGGGUAGGCAAUUCGUUGCUGCAAUGCUUUUGUAGAUGGCUUGGGUGCUGUGUACAAUACGAAACAGGAAUACGACUCGUCGUAUUAAAACCCUAUUUCUCGACCUGAGCUCAGGCAA
This 700-nucleotide unclassified non-coding RNA is filed under the name Pleodorina illinoisensis. RNAcentral's name for it is "partial contains 18S rRNA, ITS1, 5.8S rRNA, ITS2 and 28S rRNA". The stretch from base 280 to 433 matches the Rfam family "5.8S ribosomal RNA". The record is from RNAcentral. Lineage: Eukaryota; Viridiplantae; Chlorophyta; Chlorophyceae; Chlamydomonadales; Volvocaceae.